AGGGAAUCUUCCGCAAUGGACGAAAGUCUGACGGAGCAACGCCGCGUGAGUGAUGAAGGUUUUCGGAUCGUAAAGCUCUGUUGCCAGGGAAGAACGUCCGGUAGAGUAACCGCUAUCGGAGUGACGGUACCUGAGAAGAAAGCCCCGGCUAACUACGUGCCAGCAGCCGCGGUAAUACGUAGGGGGCAAGCGUUGUCCGGAAUUAUUGGGCGUAAAGCGCGCGCAGGCGGCUAUUUAAGUCUGAUGUUUAAUCCUAAGGCUCAACCUUAGGUCGCAUUGGAAACUGGGUAGCUUGAGUGCAGAAGAGGAGAGUGGAAUUCCACGUGUAGCGGUGAAAUGCGUAGAGAUGUGGAGGAACACCGGUGGCGAAGGCGACUCUCUGGGCUGUAACUGACGCUGAGGCGCGAAAGCGUGGGGAGCAAAC
Molecule: ribosomal RNA, 424 nt
Filed under: uncultured bacterium
Lineage: Bacteria
Description: bacterial SSU rRNA
Rfam family: Bacterial small subunit ribosomal RNA
Source: RNAcentral